RNAcentral lists this long non-coding RNA (1419 nucleotides) under Strigops habroptila (Kakapo). RNAcentral's name for it is "lncRNA (ENSSHBG00005000126.1)". Lineage: Eukaryota; Metazoa; Chordata; Aves; Psittaciformes; Psittacidae. The record is from RNAcentral.
CUUUCUGUAAGUCAGGCUCUUCUGUUUUGCAGCUAUAGUGAGGGGUAAAGGAGAAGGAUAGGAAAAAAACCCUCAAAAAAUAAUAUAUAUGAAAGAGUAAUUUUUCUUACACUUGUUGGUUAUAUGAGGUAACAUAACAUUUACCCUUCUAUGUUGCUGCCAUAAUUAAAGCUGAAUUCCGUAAACACCAUAAAAUUCAGUUUAUACUAUCAUAUACAUAUGCCUGAAUAUUGCUUAUAAAAGCUUCAAAAUUUCACUGGUUUUGUUUAUACACAAGUGAAAAAUGUGCUUUCCAUGAUCUGCAAAUAUUUUUAUUUUGAAAAAACAGUUCUCCAGAUAAGCUCAUUAAAAAUGGAAUUAAAUAAUCAAAUUAAGAAAUCUGUGGAAGGCUGGUCUCAGGGACAUGUUGCCACUGAUGUUACAGAAGGUAAGUUUGUUCUUGCAGGCCAAAAUGAUUUCUGAAGUGCUGCAGAAACAUUUCUUCUUUGUUAAGGUUCAGUUACAGCGAAGUUGCACUACUUUUUUUUUUCUUAUAUAUAUAUAUUCUUAAGGAAUAGAAAUAAGAUGAAGUGACAUUCCACAUCUAUCAUUUUGUCUCUGUUUGUUGUCCCGUCCUUUGCUGAAACGACAGCACAAGUCAAUAUGAAAUGCAGAGGUUUUAUUUUUUUUCUUCAAGCUGUUCCUUCAAAUGAUCAUUUGUAUCUGCCUGCUUUUCACCUAAAAGGCAUAGGAGUGAAGGAUUCCACCAAGAAGUGGUUUGACAAUAUAUGAAAUAGAAGAAAUGAGAGAAAAUAGAGAACUUACCAGUUUUGAGACAGAGUACUUGAAACUACUGUUCUAGUGCCUGUUUGGAUCCCUUGUGCUGCCUCUUAGUUGCCAUAACUGUGCGAGUUCUGAGGGUCAUGAGUAAAUGACAUCCCUGGAGAUGAGGAGAUGUGACUUCCUCUUUUAAGUUGAGGGAGGAGCAGUUGCAGCUAUUUUUGGCUACAGUCUAGUGGGCUUUCAUGAAUUACUCAGCAGUUUCUUGAAUCCAGUGGUAUCUGAAAACUGUAACAAAACAGAUCUGAAUAUGGACUAAAGAAAAAAGUUUCUACCUGCAAAUCACUGCAAACGAAGGUUUUUCUCUUUCUUGCUGUUUGUGUUAGUUUUGGGUUGGUUUUCUUGGGCUUGUUGGGGUUAUUUUUGCUUUUUACCUGUGGAAAUUUCCACUUUUUUUAACAGUGAUUACUUUUCUGACCUUUAUGAUCAGCUGAUGUUGAAGAGGACAUGUGGACACAAUGUAACAAUUUAUUUCUGUAAAACAGCUGGUAGCAUAUGAUGUGUACUGAUUUUGUUGCUUUUAAAUGAUUAAGCAAAUGUAAGGUUUAUUCCGUGUUGGUGUAUGCUGCAUACAUUUGAAGGAAUCCUUUAUAAACACUC